This 253-nucleotide ribosomal RNA is filed under the name uncultured bacterium. RNAcentral describes it as "partial 16S ribosomal RNA". It matches the Rfam family "Bacterial small subunit ribosomal RNA", at positions 524 to 776 of the family's 1533-position model. The record is from RNAcentral.
UACGAAGGGGGCUAGCGUUGCUCGGAAUCACUGGGCGUAAAGCGCACGUAGGCGGAUCGCUAAGUCAGGGGUGAAAUCCUAGAGCUCAACUCCAGAACUGCCUUUGAUACUGGCAAUCUCGAGUCCGGGAGAGGUGAGUGGAACUGCGAGUGUAGAGGUGAAAUUCGUAGAUAUUCGCAAGAACACCAGUGGCGAAGGCGGCUCACUGGCCCGGUACUGACGCUGAGGUGCGAAAGCGUGGGGAGCAAACAGG